UACGGAGGGUGCAAGCGUUAUCCGGAUUCACUGGGUUUAAAGGGUGCGUAGGCGGCGCGGUAAGUCGGGUGUGAAAUCUCGGAGCUUAACUCCGAAACUGCAUUCGAUACUGCGGUGCUUGAGGACUGGAGAGGAGACUGGAAUUCAUGGUGUAGCAGUGAAAUGCGUAGAGAUCAUGAGGAAGACCAGUGGCGAAGGCGGGUCUCUGGACAGUUCCUGACACUGAGACACGAAGGCCAGGGGAGCAAACGGG
This 253-nucleotide ribosomal RNA is filed under the name uncultured bacterium. Its description in RNAcentral is "partial 16S ribosomal RNA". It matches the Rfam family "Bacterial small subunit ribosomal RNA", at positions 524 to 776 of the family's 1533-position model. The record is from RNAcentral.